Molecule: long non-coding RNA, 487 nt
Filed under: Homo sapiens (human)
Lineage: Eukaryota; Metazoa; Chordata; Mammalia; Primates; Hominidae
Description: non-protein coding lnc-WIF1-2:1
Source: RNAcentral
AGGGAUACUGCUAACUAAACAGGUGGUCGUGAUGAAAAAAAAUUGAAUAAAUUCCUAAGUAGUAUAAUUGAAAAAGCAAAUAUGUAGAUAAAAAGUGAUAUCAAACAAGCCACAAAAUACAAGAAAUUUAAACAAAUUCCUAAAAAGAUAAUUCUACUGUAUAAAUUUAAAUGAAUUUUAAUGCCACUUUCAUUCACACUGUAAAAAUGUAUUUUACUAUUACUAUAUAACAACACAGGGGAAAAUAAUUUUAAUAGACUAUUCUAACAUAGAAAUCAUGAAUAUCUUUCUCAGCAGGAAAUUUAAUGCUGGGGGAAUAAAUGCAUGUUAUUUUAAUUAAAAUUCUUACAGUACCUUCAAAAUCUAUUUCUCAACAGACUACUGAAUCCGAGUAACUACUUGGAAGAGGAAAAGUGAUAUAAGGAAAGCAUAUUGGCUACUUAAUCCCCUUAACCUAAAAAUGACAUACAUUCUACUGCAAAAAUUA